CAGGUGCUAAUACCGUAUAACACUAUUUUCCGCAUGGAAGAAAGUUGAAAGGCGCUUUUGCGUCACUGAUGGAUGGACCCGCGGUGCAUUAGCUAGUUGGUGAGGUAACGGCUCACCAAGGCCACGAUGCAUAGCCGACCUGAGAGGGUGAUCGGCCACACUGGGACUGAGACACGGCCCAGACUCCUACGGGAGGCAGCAGUAGGGAAUCUUCGGCAAUGGACGAAAGUCUGACCGAGCAACGCCGCGUGAGUGAAGAAGGUUUUCGGAUCGUAAAACUCUGUUGUUAGAGAAGAACAAGGAUGAGAGUAGAACGUUCAUCCCUUGACGGUAUCUAACCAGAAAGCCACGGCUAACUACGUGCCAGCAGCCGCGGUAAUACGUAGGUGGCAAGCGUUGUCCGGAUUUAUUGGGCGUAAAGCGAGCGCAGGCGGUUUCUUAAGUCUGAUGUGAAAGCCCCCGGCUCAACCGGGGAGGGUCAUUGGAAACUGGGAGACUUGAGUGCAGAAGAGGAGAGUGGAAUUCCAUGUGUAGCGGUGAAAUGCGUAGAUAUAUGGAGGAACACCAGUGGCGAAGGCGGCUCUCUGGUCUGUAACUGACGCUGAGGCUCGAAGCGUGGGGAG
RNAcentral lists this ribosomal RNA (623 nucleotides) under uncultured Bacilli bacterium. Its description in RNAcentral is "bacterial SSU rRNA". It matches the Rfam family "Bacterial small subunit ribosomal RNA", at positions 157 to 768 of the family's 1533-position model. Lineage: Bacteria; Bacillati; Bacillota; Bacilli. The record is from RNAcentral.